Molecule: long non-coding RNA, 479 nt
Filed under: Equus caballus (horse)
Lineage: Eukaryota; Metazoa; Chordata; Mammalia; Perissodactyla; Equidae
Description: lncRNA (ENSECAG00000051805.1)
Source: RNAcentral
CAAAUGGAUGUUUCUCCAGUAAUCCUCCCCUCCUGGGUAAAUAGUUAGCCUGGAAGCCUCCCCAUCUGCAUACCUGUGACCCCAGGUGACGAUGUUGUGAUUUAAGUUCCAUCAGGACCUCAAAUCUCUUUGUAAGUGGCAUAUUGCGUACUUCAAGGAAAAAUAUCUGAACCCCAUGAUUUAACAACAGAGAGAAAGGAAAAAUCUUCAGGAGGUAACAAUGUAUCAAGUCCACUCUUCUUCCCAGCUGAAAGAAUGAUUGUAACCCUGAAAAUGGCCAGAAUGCCUAGGCUUGCAAAGAAGGAUUUUCCAAGAGUCCCUGACAACUUUUAUCACUUUAUCUUACUAAUUGGGAAAAAAGUGAAUGCUGUACUCUUCCAAGUAUAGAAAUCCUUGCAUUUGACCAGAAUCCACAGUAGGUUAAAGAUGGAAGCUGGUGUUUUCUAGCAGGUUAGCGCCAUUAAAAUAACAACAAUCAA